RNAcentral lists this ribosomal RNA (493 nucleotides) under uncultured bacterium. Its description in RNAcentral is "partial 16S ribosomal RNA". It matches the Rfam family "Bacterial small subunit ribosomal RNA", at positions 29 to 507 of the family's 1533-position model. The record is from RNAcentral.
ACGAACGCUGGCGGCGUGCUUCACACCUGCAGGUCGAACGGUGAAGCGCCUUCCUUUUUGGUGGGUGUGGAUGAGUGGCGAACGGGUGAGUAACACGUGAGUAACCUGCCCCCUUCUUCUGGAUAACCGCAUGAAAGUGUGGCUAAUACGGGAUAUUCUGGGUCUGUCGCAUGAUGGGUCUGGGAAAGAUAUUGUUUCGGUGGGGGAUGGGCUCGCGGCCUAUCAGCUUGUUGGUGGGGUGAUGGCCUACCAAGGCGGUGACGGGUAGCCGGCCUGAGAGGGUGGACGGUCACACUGGGACUGAGACACGGCCCAGACUCCUACGGGAGGCAGCAGUGGGGAAUAUUGCACAAUGGGCGCAAGCCUGAUGCAGCGACGCCGCGUGAGGGAUGGAGGCCUUCGGGUUGUGAACCUCUUUCGCCAGUGAAGCAGGCCUGCCUCGUUUGUGGGUGGGUUGACGGUAGCUGGAUAAGAAGCGCCGGCUAACUACGUG